Long non-coding RNA from Branchiostoma floridae (Florida lancelet), 407 nucleotides. RefSeq lists it as uncharacterized. The record is from RefSeq and is a predicted model, not a curated record. The transcript is spliced from 3 exons. NCBI's taxonomy places the organism in Eukaryota, Metazoa, Chordata, Leptocardii, Amphioxiformes, Branchiostomatidae.
CCUAGCAGACUUGUUGGACUAUUUCAGCAUCGAUAGUUCAACAGGAGAGCUGUCUUUGGUUAGAGGACUGGACAGGGAGGCAGUACAUGAUGUCACACUCACCAUCAAGGCAGAACAGUCGGACAGCAAUGUCAGAUCAGCAGAGGCUCGUGUGUACAUCGUUGUUCAAGACGCCAAUGACAACCGACCACAGAUGUCUGCCAGCCAGUACCAGGCAACAGCGAUGGAGAAUACCCCCAUUGGUUCUCCUGUACUCACUGUCACAGCGUCAGACAAGGAUGAGGGAGGCAAUGCAGUAUUCAUGUAUGUGCUGGUUCCUUCCGAUGCCUUUACCAUUGAUGGCACGACCGGUCAAGUCACUGUCAGCAACAACAGUAUCCUGGACAGGGAGAUAAACAGCAAUUUCA